UGUUGAUCCAGGAAAUGCAUUUCUUGUUCCGUCACCAUACUACCCUGGAUGGGACAGGGACAUAAAAUGGCGAACUGGUAUUGAGUUGAUACCCGUUCCUUGCCGGAGCACCGACAACUUCAACAUCAGUAUCACUGCUCUAGAAAUAGCCUAUAACCCUUUCAUUUGCUUAGCUCCCGAGUAGAAUUUAUAGGUUUGACUGAAUUGUUUAGAGGAAUGGCGAUUCGUUGCUGGUGCAGAGUCAGGAGUGCUUGGAGAAGGUUGCCAAGACGGUCUCCUUCCUCGCGCAGCCUGAAGGCUCAUUCCUGCUGUUGCUCACAAGGGAAGUUCAAAAGGACCGCGCGCUGGAGCUCCUAAACGUGCGCCCCUUCUACUUCGUUUACUUAUGUGGCGUGAAGACAUAGAGCAAACCUUUGGAGCCAUAGUUGUCUUUUUUGUCAUCUAAAAUAAUAAUGGUAACAUAUUAAUACAAACAAAAUAAUAUUCUAGCUCAAAAAAUUGUAUGUGAAUAAUGAAUGGAUGCUAUGGAAAUAUAUUUGU
Long non-coding RNA from Hordeum vulgare subsp. vulgare (domesticated barley), 540 nucleotides. RefSeq lists it as uncharacterized. Lineage: Eukaryota; Viridiplantae; Streptophyta; Magnoliopsida; Poales; Poaceae. The transcript has 3 exons. The record is from RefSeq and is a predicted model, not a curated record.